This 406-nucleotide ribosomal RNA is filed under the name uncultured bacterium. Its description in RNAcentral is "partial 16S ribosomal RNA". It matches the Rfam family "Bacterial small subunit ribosomal RNA", at positions 29 to 526 of the family's 1533-position model. The record is from RNAcentral.
AUUGAACGCUGGCGGCAGGCCUAACACAUGCAAGUCGAACGAGAGGCGGACGGGUUAGUAAUGACUGGGAAAGUGCCUGAUGGAUGGGGAUAACUACUGGAAACGGUAGCUAAUAACGCAUACCAUCGGCUGGGCCCAAAUGGGAUUAGCUAGUAGGUGGGGUAAAGGCUAACCAGGGCGACGAACCCGAGCUGGUCUGAGAGGAUGACCAGCCAAACUGGAACGGAGACACGGUCCAGACUCCUACGGUAGGCAGCAGUGGGGAAUAUUGCACAAUGGGCGAAAGCCUGAUGCAGCCAUGCCGCGUGUAUGAAGAAGGCCUUCGGGUUGUAAAGUACUUUCAGCGGGGAGGCGUUACCCGCAGAAGAAGCACCGGCUAACUCCGUGCCAGCAGCCGCGGUAAUAC